UCUAGGAAAGAAAUAUGGGCAGCGGACUGGAACAGGCUAACAGGCUAACGCUUACGCUACGCUAACUUGGCCCCUCCGGAUUGUGGGACAGAGAGCCCCCAUGAGCUGUUCAUGCUGACCCGGCCUGCCUGCUGGGUGGGUGCGUGGGCCAGGUUGAUCAUGUGCACCACGAUCCUGAUCAUCUCGACCCUGUCAGUCAUUCUGCGCAGACGAUUCAACAACCGAGUCAAACCCCAUCCGGACGAGCUGGGGGAGAAAGAGAUGGCAUACGUGCAGAGAGAACUGCAGCCCAUGGAGAAGUGAGGCUCCCCGACCUGUCAGGCAUCAGUUCCAGGUACAUUACUACAGUAAAGUUGGAUGUACGCCAGACCGACAUAGCCUUCUAAAACAUACACCUGUCAUCCUCUUCGGCCUCUAACGGAGUUCACCUGCAGUUUGUGGAGAAAGAGCAUGAGAGAGACACAGGCUUGUUAUGGGAACAGGUUCAGGAAAAAAUCCUCAGGCAGCAGCAGUAUGGAAGGAAAAGGAACAGAUGUGGGUCCAGGAUGUCGAAAGUGUCCUCAGUUCAAUGGCUAGGCAACUGUGUGCUUCCCUGGAUAAAUAUCCUCGCCACGAGCCUGGGGAUGGCUCAAACCACUUCUCCCCUUCCUUCCAUGACUGGUUUCCCUCCCGUCAUCCAGCCCUUACUUACAGACAGCUGUAGGUCCUCUACACCCACAGACUGAAGAGCCAUGGAACAUAUUGCUCGGCAGCUAAAAUGGACAAUGGCAGAACGAAGCCUUCAUUAUUGAUUGAUUUGAAAUGUUUAUUGGUGUGAAUCAUCUAGAACCCACCAUAGGUAGUGCUGCCACAGAGGAGGAGUCAAAGAUAUUCAGUUAUAUACCAGAGCUCAUGAAAAUACAUUUCUACCCUUGUCUGAAUCUCUCCAUUUCAGGGUAUGCAUUGAAAGCAACGAGGAACAAAGGGGAUGCAACCGUUCCAAAGCAUGAUGUGUCCUCAUCUAUGAUAAGUUGCUGUUUGACAUUCUGGAGAGGUGUAAUCAUAUAAAGACACAGAUGUCCUCCAAGAGUCACACUCUAAUAAAGGAUGAUGAUAAGUCAAACAGAGUCCAGAGUUUACAGUCUGACCUUCUCUGGUCCAAGAGGCUAGAGACCAAUUCUUCCCUCACGCAACCCUCCCCUCAAUUAAAUAAACGUGUGAUUUAUCUGA
Long non-coding RNA from Oncorhynchus nerka (sockeye salmon), 1209 nucleotides. RefSeq lists it as uncharacterized. The transcript is spliced from 6 exons. The record is from RefSeq and is a predicted model, not a curated record. NCBI's taxonomy places the organism in Eukaryota, Metazoa, Chordata, Actinopteri, Salmoniformes, Salmonidae.